UACGUAUGGUGCAAGCGUUAUCCGGAUUUACUGGGUGUAAAGGGAGCGCAGGCGGCACGGCAAGCCUGAUGUGAAAGCCCGCGGCCCAACCGCGGGACUGCAUUGGGAACUACCGGGCUGGAGUGCCGGAGAGGUAGGCGGAAUUCCUAGUGUAGCGGUGAAAUGCGUAGAUAUUAGGAGGAACACCAGUGGCGAAGGCGGCCUACUGGACGGUGACUGACGCUGAGGCUCGAAAGCGUGGGGAGCAAGCAGG
This 253-nucleotide ribosomal RNA is filed under the name uncultured bacterium. RNAcentral's name for it is "partial 16S ribosomal RNA". It matches the Rfam family "Bacterial small subunit ribosomal RNA", at positions 524 to 776 of the family's 1533-position model. The record is from RNAcentral.